Pteronotus mesoamericanus is the source of this 103-nucleotide small nuclear RNA. NCBI's taxonomy places the organism in Eukaryota, Metazoa, Chordata, Mammalia, Chiroptera, Mormoopidae. The record is from RefSeq and is a predicted model, not a curated record.
GUGCUCCCUUCGGCAGCACGUAUACUAAAACUGGAAUGAAACAGAGAAGAUUAGCAUGGCCCCUGCACAAGGAUGACACGCAAAUCUGUGCAGCGUACAUUUU